GAUGAACGCUGGCGGCGUGCCUAAUACAUGCAAGUCGAGCGAAUGGACGAGAAUCUUGCUUCUCUGAUGUUAGCGGCGGACGGGUGAGUAACACGUGGAUAACCUACCUAUAAGACUGGGAUAACUUCGGGAAACCGUAGCUAAUACCGGAUAAUAUUUUGAACCGCAUGGUUCAAAAGUGAAAGACGGUCUUGCUGUCACUUAUAGAUGGAUCCGCGCUGCAUUAGCUAGUUGGUAAGGUAACGGCUUACCAAGGCAACGAUGCAUAGCCGACCUGAGAGGGUGAUCGGCCACACUGGAACUGAGACACGGUCCAGACUCCUACGGGAGGCAGCAGUAGGGAAUCUUCCGCAAUGGGCGAAAGCCUGACGGAGCAACGCCGCGUGAGUAUGAAGGUCUUCGGAUCGUAAAACUCUGUUAUUAGGGAAGAACAUAUGUGUAAGUAACUGUGCACAUCUUGACGGUACCUAAUCAGAAAGCCACGGCUAACUACGUG
RNAcentral lists this ribosomal RNA (496 nucleotides) under uncultured bacterium. Its description in RNAcentral is "partial 16S ribosomal RNA". It matches the Rfam family "Bacterial small subunit ribosomal RNA", at positions 28 to 507 of the family's 1533-position model. The record is from RNAcentral.